Molecule: long non-coding RNA, 1611 nt
Organism: Apis cerana (Asiatic honeybee)
Lineage: Eukaryota; Metazoa; Arthropoda; Insecta; Hymenoptera; Apidae
Source: RefSeq, a predicted model, not a curated record
AUUUUUGUGAAAUAGUGAAUUUUUAAAAGAAAUUGUUCAAGAAACAGAUUUUCUGGAUCUUAGUAGUAUCGAAUAAAGUGCAUUGACGUUUAUAAAAAUCAUAUUGAAAAGGUAUAGUAUAAGUUAUAGAUAAUUUUAUGCUUUCACUAUCAAAUCGUAAAUUUUCGAAUUGUAGUAAUAUCUAUUCGAAAUAAUUGUCUUGAAUAUAGGCACAGUUUAUUGCGCAUGCGGAUGUUAGACUGCGACAUCUAUCUCAUAAAUAAUUAUAGAAUUUUGUCGACGUGGUUUUUGGCGAAGUAGUGAAUUUUUAAAAGAAAUUGUUCAAGAAAUAUCAAGAAAUAGUUUUUCUGGAUUUUAGUAGUGUCGAAUAAAGUGCAUUGACGUUCAUAAAAAUCGUAUUGAAAAGGUGUAGUGUGAGUUUAUGGAUAAUUUUAUGCUUUCACUAUCAAGCCGCGAAUUUUUCGAAUUUCUCUUUAGUAGUUUUCCCACGUAACUUUACAUGCCCAAUAAAUAUUGCGAUUUCGAAAGAUUGAAUUAAUUAUGAAUUUUAAAUAUAUUUGAUAGAAUCAUAUAAUUAUUACGUUUAUUAUUAUCGUAUUGUUCUUAUAUUACGAUCAACGUACCAUUUAUCGAAGAUGGAACUUACAGCCAGAGAAAAAAGCUUCGUAGGCGCGGUUAACAAAAAGUGAACACCGCUGGAAAAAAUCAAGCAUUUGUAUUCCGCGGAGAUUUUUCAACGGCGGCCGGACAGUUUUCUCAUUUCGUUUAUGGCCAGCCAUAACAUAACUCCGGGACCUACUACCGCCGCUCGACAAACACCGAAAUUUCGAGCGGCAAAACACAAAAUCAGACACGACUAUGCGUGGGUGGAAUGGAGUAGCAUCCUGGCAACACUUUGCCAAGCAAGAAGACGUCGCUCCGUUUUAUUCAUAACAUUGUCUAGAUUAUCUAUAACGAAUUUGAAGAUAGAAUAACACUUGAACAUACACAAGUUAUUAUCACUUCUAUCUGAAUAUUAAAUAACUAUUAUUCAACGAAUUCACGUUUUGAAGACAUUAAAUCUCUCCAUUUACGGACAAAUGUCUACAAUUUUAUCAUAUAAAUGCUAAUCAAAUGGACUUUCCACUAUCAUCCCAUCGGAUACCCUUCAAUUCUUCGAAUCAACCCCUCGAAGAAGGACCACCAAAAACAAAACUCGUCCAGGACAAGCGUAUCCAAUGUAACCCACACUUGAACAAUCCUCAGUCCGGCCGUUUACCAGACGAAUCCCCCCUUUUUUCAAGGAUCCACGAGAGGGAUAUUUCUUCUGGCGCAUGAUCUUUUCACCUGUCAUCGGCCUCCUAUGAUCGCCGAAACAUUGGAACCCGAAGACUCUUCGUUAACAUAUGAUGAUAAAUCGUAAGAAAAUCAUUGCUGCAAUCGUAAGUAACUUACACUUGUUUUCCUUUUGGAUUCCUUUACCGAAUAUUUCUCAGAACUCAUUAAAAACAGGAAAUAGACAUAUUUUCAAUCGAAACGAAUCUUAACAAACAGGAUAAUUAUAAUUCGUCACAGAAAUUUUCCACUGCGAAUCACAACCGAGUUUCAUAGACUCCCAUUCUUUUUCGUAAU